Molecule: long non-coding RNA, 1314 nt
Organism: Stomoxys calcitrans (stable fly)
Lineage: Eukaryota; Metazoa; Arthropoda; Insecta; Diptera; Muscidae
Exons: 3
Source: RefSeq, a predicted model, not a curated record
GGACCCCGGAGGGUCCGAACUGUCUCAGCGGAGAAAGGGGACAUAGUGUGCUGGCGAGCGCUGGCUGUUGGCGUUAGAGCUCCGGCUGUGGCUCAGUCUGGGGCGCGGUUCUUGCCAACACACCAUGUCCAGAGACAGGUGACCAAAAAUUCAAAUUUCAAACCAGCUCUGGAUGGGAUAACAACACAGGGUCAUACUUACUUUACGGCAGGCACGUUAUUCGCCUUCUUACCCGCACUUACCGCUAUGGAUUCGCUCUUCAGGGGGCACUGAGACAUCCUACAGUGCCCUGGACGGCCCACCCCAACCAUGGUAUCCGUUGUCCAACAGUUUUGGAUACCCCAGAAUCGUCUCCCCGUUCCCCCUCUACAGCAUGGUGCACUACCCCUUCCUUACCUUAAUGAUCUACUCUUCCAUAGCGAAAUGAGAAUACUAAGCCAAGUGGAAUUUCAUUUCUACGUUAUAAAAGAAAAGUGCCUUUGUUGCGUCUGUCAGAUCGCCGGACUGGAAUGCUUCGACGACGGCUCCCCUGGAUAGCAAGACAAUUUGGUAGCGGAGGUGCCCUGGAUCUCCCUUUUUAUGUUCUUGCCAACCUGCAGGGACAACAUUAAACGACCAAAGGGUCUUUUAUUUAAAGUGUAUUCCUAGUGCCCUAGAAUGAGCUCACCCUACUUCCUAGGUUGUAUCGUCCGUUCAAUCACCGGACUGCAGAUAUGAAACCCAAUGUCUACCCUGUUUGCUGCCUAAGUUAUUCUGUUUUCUUUUUUUUUUUAUUUCUUAUAUUUUUAUUCCAGGAUGUGUGUCAAGCUAAGUUUCUCUGUGUAUCGUUCUAAGUAUUGAACAUAUAAAAAGGAGCAUACAUCGGCCUACCUUGGCACCUACGGGCUGCUGGUGCAAAAUUCCCUCGGGGACACUGGAGCAGAUGGCGGCGGUGGAACCAAUGAUGAAGCUGGAGAUGCUGAUGAGAUGAUGAUGUUGUUGAGGAUGGAAAUGUUGACGUUGCCGUGGAUGACGAUGGUUAAAAUUGCAGUAGAGGUGGGUAUUUAUUAUUUGACAAAAAGUUUUUGUUGUUCUGUUUAGUCUUUGCUAUGUUUUAUUCGUGGCUCAAAUUAACGUUCUUUUUCAAAGCUUUUUAUAUUUCACAGGAUCUUUUUUCCUUAGCAUUAAUUAGCACUAAUAAGUUUAUUUAGCUUUAAGUUGAUCUAAAGUAACUUCAGCUUUUUUACUACAAAAGCUAGUCUUUAUUCCUUUCACAAAAAAAAGGAACAUUUAUUUGCUUUUAAAUAAAAAACUUUAUGCCUUUGGCAUCACAUA